Molecule: long non-coding RNA, 176 nt
Organism: Culex quinquefasciatus (southern house mosquito)
Lineage: Eukaryota; Metazoa; Arthropoda; Insecta; Diptera; Culicidae
Exons: 2
Source: RefSeq, a predicted model, not a curated record
AAUCACAAGUACGACAAAGAUCCGGCCAAGCCGAUGCCAUUUGAGAAUUAACGUAGAAGUUGGUUAAAAAGUAAUUCGCAUACUGUAAAAUUUUUUAGCUAAUCACCAACUAAACACGGUUGCCCAGAUUUGCUCAAAGAAAUUCAGUGACGCUGACUCUACCUAAUCUCAACACU